Molecule: ribosomal RNA, 645 nt
Filed under: uncultured bacterium
Lineage: Bacteria
Description: bacterial SSU rRNA
Rfam family: Bacterial small subunit ribosomal RNA
Source: RNAcentral
UUAAAAACUCCGGUGGUUAAAGAUGGGCAUGCGUUGUAUUAGCUAGUUGGUGAGGUAACGGCUCACCAAGGCAACGAUACAUAGGGGGACUGAGAGGUUAACCCCCCACAUUGGUACUGAGACACGGACCAAACUCCUACGGGAGGCAGCAGUGAGGAAUAUUGGUCAAUGGACGCAAGUCUGAACCAGCCAUGCCGCGUGCAGGAAGACGGCUCUAUGAGUUGUAAACUGCUUUUGUACUAGGGUAAACGCUUCUACGUGUAGGAGCCUGAAAGUAUAGUACGAAUAAGGAUCGGCUAACUCCGUGCCAGCAGCCGCGGUAAUACGGAGGAUCCAAGCGUUAUCCGGAUUUAUUGGGUUUAAAGGGUGCGUAGGCGGUUUGAUAAGUUAGAGGUGAAAUACCGGGGCUCAACUCCGGAACUGCCUCUAAUACUGUUGAACUAGAGAGUAGUUGCGGUAGGCGGAAUGUAUGGUGUAGCGGUGAAAUGCUUAGAGAUCAUACAGAACACCGAUUGCGAAGGCAGCUUACCAAACUAUAUCUGACGUUGAGGCACGAAAGCGUGGGGAGCAAACAGGAUUAGAUACCCUGGUAGUCCACGCAGUAAACGAUGAUAACUCGUUGUCGGCGAUACACAGUCGGUGACU